UUAUUUUGAUGCAAACUCUGUUAUGCUAACUGUUUGAGCACUACGAAUGUUUAAAACUCAAAGGACUUGGCGGCUAAUUAACUAAUUAGGGGAACAUGUGUCUUAAUUCGAAAGUGCGCGUUUGAUCAUACCAUAUCUUGAACAGUCGGUGUACUGCCGUUGUCAGCUGGUGGUGAAACUGGCUCAACCAUGAAUGCAGGUCAAAGUGCUGCCAAUGGUGUUGGGGAGUAGGUGUUACAUGAUACGGAGGGGUUAAUAAGGUUAACACAAGUGAAAUCGUGAGGGAAGGU
Molecule: ribosomal RNA, 290 nt
Filed under: Propeamussiidae sp. 5 GS-2019
Lineage: Eukaryota; Metazoa; Mollusca; Bivalvia; Pectinida; Propeamussiidae
Description: partial 12S ribosomal RNA
Source: RNAcentral